AUUGAACGCUGGCGGCAUGCCUUACACAUGCAAGUCGAACGGCAUCGCGGGAAAGCUUGCUUUCCUGGCGGCGAGUGGCGUACGGGUGAGUAACACAUCGGAACGUACCGGCUAGUGGGGGAUAACCCGUCGAAAGACGGGCUAAUACCGCAUACGCUCUUCGGAGGAAAGCAGGGGACCUUUGGGCCUUGCGCUAGCCGAGCGGCCGAUGUCCGAUUAGCUAGUUGGUGGGGUAAAGGCCUACCAAGGCGACGAUCGGUAGCGGGUCUGAGAGGACGAUCCGCCACACUGGGACUGAGACACGGCCCAGACUCCUACGGGAGGCAGCAGUGGGGAAUCUUGGACAAUGGGGGCAACCCUGAUCCAGCAAUGCCGCGUGGGUGAAGAAGGCCUUCGGGUUGUAAAGCCCUUUCGGCAGGGAAGAAAUCGGCGGGGCGAAUAACCCUGCUGGAUGACGGUACCUGCAGAAGAAGCACCGGCUAACUACGUG
This 490-nucleotide ribosomal RNA is filed under the name uncultured bacterium. RNAcentral's name for it is "partial 16S ribosomal RNA". It matches the Rfam family "Bacterial small subunit ribosomal RNA", at positions 29 to 507 of the family's 1533-position model. The record is from RNAcentral.